AAAAUGAAAUCUGGGUGUUGUUCGAUAAAAAUAAAUAGAGCAUUUUGAAACAAAUAAAAUUAAUCAGUUUAAGGGAUGUACACAAUUAUUUUAAAUCAGUCUGAACUAAAUCCAUACAACCUUAAAAGAGCUCAAUUCAUUUGUGUCGAAACAACAAAAAAUAAUGAUUUGAGUCAAACUACUACUUUUGCGCAUGCGCUGAUGACAGGAAAUCCACGUGACCUCGUCAGUUAUCGCGGGCGCCAUUACGUGGUGGAGUCCAGUCUAUGGUGGAAUGCUGUAGAAUUGGUUUUUACAAGAGCUCAUUAAAUGGUAUCCUAUACUUGGGUUAUAGUCUACUUUUUCACAUGGUUUACAAGAGCAAUAAACAGCAUCCCAUGCUUGGGUUUUAGUAAACUUUUUCAUGUGAACAACAGCGUAGACAUGGAAAGAGAAUGCAUCCUCAAAGCACUGUGUGUAUACUUAAAGGAGGACCAUCUACAGCUGUUCAAGGAGUACAAUGUAAGCAACUGCUUUUCUCUUCUUCACUUUUAUGUUUACGUUAUGUUUUGUACACUUGUUACAGUUUUCAUAUGUUUACUAGAGGUGCAAUGGUUCUCUGUAAAAAAUCUAAGCGUACCAUUCUCUACUUAUGGUUCGGCACUCACUUGAACCGCGGUCCACCUCUAAUGACGAUGCGAGUGCCGUAUGCUGCUCUAACGUCUAGUCAUGAACGCUGUUGCCAUCUUUGUGUAAACGAAACUCAUUUAAGCCUUGCUAACUUAAACAUUCAAGAGCAAGACGCAAAAGAGAACUGUGAGAUGAUUUGUGAGUGUGCUCAUCCAAAGCGCCCACAUGU
Long non-coding RNA from Carassius gibelio (silver crucian carp), 838 nucleotides. RefSeq lists it as uncharacterized. The transcript is spliced from 4 exons. Lineage: Eukaryota; Metazoa; Chordata; Actinopteri; Cypriniformes; Cyprinidae. The record is from RefSeq and is a predicted model, not a curated record.